GUACAAGUGAUGAAGAUUAAAACAACACAUCAUUAUGACAAAUCAAGUGAUAUUGUAAACGCUUUCUGAUGUA
Small nucleolar RNA from Xenopus tropicalis (tropical clawed frog), 73 nucleotides. Lineage: Eukaryota; Metazoa; Chordata; Amphibia; Anura; Pipidae. The record is from Ensembl.